This 102-nucleotide ribosomal RNA is filed under the name Jaculus jaculus (lesser Egyptian jerboa). Lineage: Eukaryota; Metazoa; Chordata; Mammalia; Rodentia; Dipodidae. The record is from RNAcentral.
CACCAUACUACGUCCCUGAACGCAUCCAAUCUCAUCUGAUCUCAGAAGCUAUGCUGAGUGGGGCUCAGUUAGUACUUGGACAGGAGAAUCAGCUUAUAGUGC